Molecule: ribosomal RNA, 497 nt
Filed under: uncultured bacterium
Lineage: Bacteria
Description: partial 16S ribosomal RNA
Rfam family: Bacterial small subunit ribosomal RNA
Source: RNAcentral
GAUGAACGAGGGAGGGGGGAAGAAUACAUGCAAGUCGAGCGAACGGACGAGAAGCUUGCUUCUCUGAUGUUAGCGGCGGACGGGUGAGUAACACGUGGAUAACCUACCUAUAAGACUGGGAUAACUUCGGGAAACCGGAGCUAAUACCGGAUAAUAUUUUGAACCGCAUGGUUCAAAAGUGAAAGACGGUCUUGCUGUCACUUAUAGAUGGAUCCGCGCUGCAUUAGCUAGUUGGUAAGGUAACGGCUUACCAAGGCAACGAUGCAUAGCCGACCUGAGAGGGUGAUCGGCCACACUGGAACUGAGACACGGUCCAGACUCCUACGGGAGGCAGCAGUAGGGAAUCUUCCGCAAUGGGCGAAAGCCUGACGGAGCAACGCCGCGUGAGUGAUGAAGGUCUUCGGAUCGUAAAACUCUGUUAUUAGGGAAGAACAUAUGUGUAAGUAACUGUGCACAUCUUGACGGUACCUAAUCAGAAAGCCACGGCUAACUACGUC